This is a long non-coding RNA of Antechinus flavipes (yellow-footed antechinus), 2201 nucleotides long. RefSeq lists it as uncharacterized. The record is from RefSeq and is a predicted model, not a curated record. The transcript has 2 exons. Lineage: Eukaryota; Metazoa; Chordata; Mammalia; Dasyuromorphia; Dasyuridae.
CAAUGCCCUACUGUCUAUCUCUUUCCCAUUAGGGUUAUAUUUAAUGAAAAACAAAAUCAUAGGGAUGCAUUAAUUCAUUUUAGCUCUAAAUUUCAUUAAUUGCUGAAUCCUUUGGCUGAAAAUGUCAUAUUGAAUUUAAGAGAGCUUGUUUGAUUGUUUUUAGCCCUUUGUUUGAUACUUUGUGUCAGUUUCUUGAAAAUACACAUUAAUUUUACAAGUGACAAUAUAAAGAGUAUUCUUUUUAUAAUAAAAUAAGUGCGUCUACAGAGUGGGUUUAGCAAGAAACUAUAUUUUACAAAUUUACAUCAUAGCCCCAACUUAACAUUUCUCUAUAUCUCGUUAUUUGAUUUGGCCUUGAACAAUUUCUGCCUUGCUACAUGAAAAACAAUUGCCUGUCAUCUAACUUUCAUUUUAAGGUUUCCUCACACAAUCCAUGUGUGUAGCAGUGCAUGUGGAACUUCACUAUCCUUUAUAACGACUUUAAUGUAACCACCCUCCCCUCAUCUCCCCAUCCCCAGUAGCUGCAGUGUAUUUAAAACACAUCGAGGUCCUUUUGCCAAAAUACAGCUCAAUUUUAAAUGUAGCAUAGAAACUAAGGAAAUCCUGAGCAAAAAUGAUGCCAUGAAAACCUGGCACUGCUCAUUUGUUUCCUGUUUGGCUAAAUUUUACUUGGCAAGGUGGUAUUAUUGACUCAGAGUGCAGCCAACAUUAAAAUCAUUUUGCAAAAGCAACCUAAACUGUUUCAUUAUGUUUAGUUAAAAUACAGCGAUUCAACCCUGCAUUUUAGAGAAGAUGCCUAUAGCUGGAGAAAAUUUUUAUCUCUCCCUCCCCCUCCUCCCAACUCCGUUUUGACAAAUUUGGACGCGGUUUUGGCAAAGCUAUGGCGGUGUUUGGGGCGUUAAGGUGGUAUUAAGUGGUUUUCUCCCUCCCCUUUCCUCUGGGAUAGCGUUUGAUGAAGCAAAUGGACAGAGCUAGAUGAGAGCUAUUUCCUGCAGUUUCCUGAGGAUCCCUAGCACUAGCUUGAGUUUUUUCUUCAAGACUUCUUUUCCUGCUCGUGGACUUCUCCGGCCUUCUGGAGCAAGGGAGACUGCAAGGAGGAGGAGGGGAUAGGGACGGCUUUCGGGACUCCGCAGGAGAGGCAAGGUCAUGGAACUUGUGGGUGCAGUCAGGCCAUGUUGCCCUCUGUGACUGGCAGAUACCUAGGCUGUCUUGGGUUGCAGGAGCGCUCCCUGCACUCUUGGAGUCCAAAGAAGGGUACAGUUUAGGCGGGUAAAAUGGGGAGGAGUCUCUAGGAAGCCCAGAGACCGUCUGCAGCUAACUAGGAAUAGGGGACACAGGGGAAGCCGUGGCGGAGCAGUGCUUCUCCCGCUUGUUUCCCGAAGAACUUCACCUGAACCUGAAAUUCUAUAGGUCUGAGCCCGUUCUAUGGAGAUUCCUAGUCUCACAGCGCACCCUAGUGGACCAUCAGCGCCCUCUCGCCUCCUGUCUUCACCCUCCUCCCCCCACAGCCUGCGACUUUCUUCAAUCUCCUCUGGCUUAUUACAAUCUGCAAUAUAUUACUUUCUCCCAAAGUAUUGACAACGUGCGAGAGAUUCGAGUAACCCUGGACCGCUUUCCUGUAAUCAGCAUAUUUAUUCACAUUUAUAUGGAAGAAAAAAAAAUCUGGAUUAAAUCCCCGUGACCCAUAUUCAGUUCCAGUGUCAUUCUUCCUGGAUCCUCUUUAAACCCACUCCACACUGCUUCUCUGUCUAUUACAUGCUAAUUUAAUUUUACUAUGGACGAUAUUUUCAGCAUUUGCUGAGGACAGUAAAUUUUGUAGUUUAUGUUAUUUCACUUUUUAUGACUUUUUAACACUUAAUAAAAUUUUAUUAGAGCACUUUUGUGUUUACAAGGCCACAAAACUCUUGGCAGGUUGUCAGAAGUCCUUUUUAUUAUGAUCCUACUGAUAUACUGCGAGUAAUGAAAUAAUCAUGUCCAGAAAUGUAUCAAAGGCCAGAGGGAUUAUCCAACUUAAUAGCUCUACAGAUGCGCUCACAAGGAUAUGGACAUGCAGCUCUGUCUGGGAGAGAGGAGGAGGCUGACCUAAGAUUUUUUUUUUUUUUUUUUUUUUUUUUACCAUUUCUGUUGCUUUCCUAAAAGGCUACAUGCAAGGUCAUGUGACUUUCUGCUGUCUCAAUAAAAAAAUUUAUUCUUUUGCAAAA